Molecule: transfer RNA, 71 nt
Organism: Loxodonta africana (African savanna elephant)
Lineage: Eukaryota; Metazoa; Chordata; Mammalia; Proboscidea; Elephantidae
Rfam family: tRNA
About the family: Transfer RNA (tRNA) molecules are approximately 80 nucleotides in length. Their secondary structure includes four short double-helical elements and three loops (D, anti-codon, and T loops).
Source: Rfam
GCAUUGGUGAUUCAGUGACAGAAUUCUCACCUUCCAUGCAGGAGAUUCAGGUUCGAUUCCCGGCCAAUGCA